GAUGAAGAACGCAGCGAAAUGCGAAAAGUAGUGUGAAUUGCAGAAUUCAGUGAAUCAUCGAAUCUUUGAACGCACAUUGCACCUCUCGGUAUUCCGGGAGGUAUGCCUGUUCGAGCGUCAUUUGUACCCUCAAGCUCUGCUUGGUGUUGGGUGUUUGUUCCGCCUCUGUGUGUGAACUCGCCUCAAAACAAUUGGCAGCCGGCGUACUUGUUUCGGAGCGCAGCACAUUUUGCGAUCCAGAUCAACGUACAGCGGCAUCCAAGAAGCCUUAUUUAACGCUCUUGACCUCGGAUCAGGUAGGGAUACCCGCUGAACUUAAGCAUAUCAAUAAGCGGAGGA
Molecule: unclassified non-coding RNA, 339 nt
Filed under: soil metagenome
Description: partial contains 5.8S ribosomal RNA, internal transcribed spacer 2, and large subunit ribosomal RNA
Rfam family: 5.8S ribosomal RNA (bases 1-120)
Source: RNAcentral